AAUGUGGGAUGACACUUGGUGACUUUAGUCGCAUUAGCUAUGUGAACACAAAAAUCAUGGACAUGAUUCAGAUAUGUUAAAGGGUCAGGAUAAAGGGUGAGCUCCUUCGCUGUUAAAAAUGGCCGCUAUAGGAAAUUAAUGGGAAUUAAGAAAACAUACAAAAACUCUGAGAAUCCUUUGGUGGUACAAACUACAAAUCAACCACUGUGCAGGAAAAAGUUUUUGCAAAUGUGAAAUAAUCAAGAAUUCAGCCACUAUGCAGGAAAAAACAGCAAGUAAGAAGUUUACACACACACACACACAAAUGAACUGGUGUGGCUGUAACAAUUAUGGUAACACUGAGCCAAAAGACUCCAAUAAGAGGUUGAAAUCAGAUCUGAUUCUGACCCAGAUUGAUUGAUGUAACCCGGGUAAACCAGCCCAGUAAAGAAAAAAAAGUUAAGAAAAAAAAAAAAAAAAAAAAAAAAAAAAAUCUAGAAGAAAAAGAGAUUCAUCCAAUCACUGAUCGUGCUGCAGUGAGAGACACCCCUAAGAGCUAAUAGUAGCGGCGCAUUCAUAAGUCCCGCCCACUGGUCGCGCCGGCGCUGCUUUCAGCGUAAGCACAUGAGAGAGAGUCAGAGCAGAUCAGCACAGACCGUUUCUCCUGAAAAUCCAUUGAUCUAACUGGAAAUGUGAUUGAGUCACUGAAAGUGGAACUUUUGAAGUCGAUGCGUCAGCCUGAAGUGUUGUGGUCGGAGACAGAGAAGAGUGAGACGGAGCGGAUCCCAGAGUGUUGAAACACUACCCUGCUGCCCAAAGGAAAAGGACAGUGAUGAGUAUCAAGCACAACCUUGACAGAGACUCAGAAGAGGCUGAAAAAAUGGAGGAAAACAAAAAAUUGAGAAAUGACAACAAAAAAAGCUACCAAAUCUGAUAAAUGAAGUGAAUAUGGCCCUGAAGUCUCAGUGUUCAUCAGCAUCAGUCAGCUCUUACUUGGAAGAUGGGACAGGGUUUGCCACAGAGUAAUUAGAGUCCUUCCAACAGAACAGGAGCAACGUUGCAUUAAGUGUCCUCAUGUGGUGCCUGCCAGCACUGGUGCAACCAUCAAUGCCAAACUUACUGAAAUUAGAGGGAAGAAAACACAAAAACAUCCGAAAACCUUAAUGGUCUUUGAUAAUUGUUAGCUGUGACAGUGUGUUUGAGGUGUUUUGUUGUUGUUGUUGUUGGUGUGUGUGUGUGUGUGUGUGUGUGUGUGUUUUGCCUUCGCAAAGUUCAGUUUGAUAACAAGUUGUAAUUCUAAAUUACUCUUGUGGAGUAUAAUUUGAUUGUGUCUCUUUGAUCGUUGAAAUAAAAGUAUUUCUGAUGCAAAUUUGUGCAAGUAAUUGACUGAAAUCAUAAAUGAUUUGUAUAUGCAGAGAUAUUGUAAUAUUGACUAAAAUCAUAUAAGAUAAUUAUAUGUAGAGA
This is a long non-coding RNA of Ctenopharyngodon idella (grass carp), 1443 nucleotides long. RefSeq lists it as uncharacterized. The transcript is spliced from 4 exons. The record is from RefSeq and is a predicted model, not a curated record. NCBI's taxonomy places the organism in Eukaryota, Metazoa, Chordata, Actinopteri, Cypriniformes, Xenocyprididae.